This 496-nucleotide ribosomal RNA is filed under the name uncultured bacterium. Its description in RNAcentral is "partial 16S ribosomal RNA". It matches the Rfam family "Bacterial small subunit ribosomal RNA", at positions 29 to 507 of the family's 1533-position model. The record is from RNAcentral.
AUGCACGCUGGCGGCGUGCCUAAUACAUGCAAGUCGAGCGAACAGACGAGGAGCUUGCUCCUCUGACGUUAGCGGCGGACGGGUGAGUAACACGUGGAUAACCUACCUAUAAGACUGGGAUAACUUCGGGAAACCGGAGCUAGUACCGGAUAAUAUAUUGAACCGCAUGGUUCAAUAGUGAAAGACGGUUUUGCUGUCACUUAUAGAUGGAUCCGCGCCGCAUUAGCUAGUUGGUAAGGUAACGGCUUACCAAGGCAACGAUGCGUAGCCGACCUGAGAGGGUGAUCGGCCACACUGGAACUGAGACACGGUCCAGACUCCUACGGGAGGCAGCAGUAGGGAAUCUUCCGCAAUGGGCGAAAGCUUGACGGAGCAACGCCGCGUGAGUGAUGAAGGUCUUCGGAUCGUAAAACUCUGUUAUUAGGGAAGAACAAAUGUGUAAGUAACUAUGCACGUCUUGACGGUACCUAAUCAGAAAGCCACGGCUAACUACGUG